UAGGGAAUCUUCCACAAUGGGCGCAAGCCUGAUGGAGCAACACCGCGUGAGUGAAGAAGGGUUUCGGCUCGUAAAGCACUGUUGUAUGGGAAGAACAGCUAGAAUAGGAAAUGAUUUUAGUUUGACGGUACCAUACCAGAAAGGGACGGCUAAAUACGUGCCAG
RNAcentral lists this ribosomal RNA (164 nucleotides) under uncultured bacterium. RNAcentral's name for it is "partial 16S ribosomal RNA". It matches the Rfam family "Bacterial small subunit ribosomal RNA", at positions 355 to 511 of the family's 1533-position model. The record is from RNAcentral.